Small nucleolar RNA from Mus pahari (shrew mouse), 146 nucleotides. RefSeq annotates it as small nucleolar RNA SNORA48. The transcript has a single exon. The record is from RefSeq and is a predicted model, not a curated record. Lineage: Eukaryota; Metazoa; Chordata; Mammalia; Rodentia; Muridae.
UGUCUCUUUGGAAAUGGGCAAAGAGACAUCUUGUGGCUGGUGGUGUUCAUAUAUCAGUCAGGGGCAGAGAAGAUGGCAGUCUAUUGUUUAUACAAGCUUGAUGUCUGACUUGAUGGGUAAAGCUGUUUUAUAUCCAGGACUCAUAA